UUCCUUGUCCUUUUUAUUUCGUCUAUGCUUAAAAGCUGGGAUGGAUUUUGAUAUGAACAGAUACUAAGAAUAUAUAGGGGUUGGAUACAAGAUUUUAUCAUAUAAAUUAAAGAGAAUGUACGGUAUCAGUUUUAGAAUUUCUUUCAAAAUGAAACUCAUGUUUAGGUUAAUGUAUUUUGAGUUACACUUUCUUUCAUGAAGUUGAGUUGACCAAUAUAACUACAGUAUGUUCAUAUUUACGUUAUCAAACAGAAGAUUGAAAGUUUCUUUUGACCCCCACUAUUUUCUAUUGUUUUUGAUAUUUGUUUUAACAUCUGUGAAUGUGUCUCAGCCUUAAGAUGAUUAACCUUGACUAUAUCAUCAAAGGAAAACCGCAUGUAAAAUAGCAGCCGGUUUCUAAUUUUCUUAUGGUGAGUAAAUUUUUGUUCGAGGGACAUCAGGACAAGUAGGUUGUAAUAAGUAGGUAUUGAGAAUCUAUAUAAGUAAGGUCGUAAUGUUUUAUGGAAGUUAAGCAGAUGUUGAUGCACGCUGUAAUGGCACUGAAGAAUUUGGUUAAAAUUAAAUAGAGUGCCAAGGCUUUGUUGCCAUAAUUUUCUUGUUGUAUUUGCAUGGCUAAUGUAAUGAAGAAUAUGAUGAUAGGACGAGAAAAAGGAAGUAACUGUCCCGGGAAUAAAAACAAAUAACAAAGCUAGACGAAUGGGAACUUAAUAUUAUGCUUGUGAUCUAUACUAUACUAAAAGGGGGAUAUAAGCUCCUUUUAGAGUGUCCACAUAGGCACA
Molecule: long non-coding RNA, 779 nt
Filed under: Brassica napus (rape)
Lineage: Eukaryota; Viridiplantae; Streptophyta; Magnoliopsida; Brassicales; Brassicaceae
Description: long non-coding RNA (BNAP_LNC005948)
Source: RNAcentral